RNAcentral lists this microRNA precursor (103 nucleotides) under Marmota monax (woodchuck). Lineage: Eukaryota; Metazoa; Chordata; Mammalia; Rodentia; Sciuridae. The record is from RNAcentral.
AGUGGGAUAGCUGGGUCAAAUGGUGGUUCCAUUCCAAGUUUUCUGAGGAAUCUCCAUAUUGCUUUCCAGAGUGAUUGCACCAAUAUGCAGUCCCACCAGCAAU